Molecule: ribosomal RNA, 468 nt
Filed under: uncultured bacterium
Lineage: Bacteria
Description: partial 16S ribosomal RNA
Rfam family: Bacterial small subunit ribosomal RNA
Source: RNAcentral
GACGAACGCUGGCGGCGUGCUUAACACAUGCAAGUCGAACGGAAAGGCCCUGCUUUUGUGGGGUGCUCGAGUGGCGAACGGGUGAGUAACACGUGAGUAACCUGCCCUUGACUUUGGGAUAACUUCAGGAAACUGGGGCUAAUACCGGAUAGGAGCUCCUGCUGCAUGGUGGGGGUUGGAAAGUUUCGGCGGUUGGGGAUGGACUCGCGGCUUAUCGGCUUGUUGGUGGGGUAGUGGCUUACCAAGGCUUUGACGGGUAGCCGGCCUGAGAGGGUGACCGGCCACAUUGGGACUGAGAUACGGCCCAGACUCCUACGGGAGGCAGCAGUGGGGAAUAUUGCACAAUGGGCGGAAGCCUGAUGCAGCAACGCCGCGUGCGGGAUGACGGCCUUCGGGUUGUAAACCGCUUUCGCCUGUGACGAAGCGUGAGUGACGGUAAUGGGUAAAGAAGCACCAGCUAACUACGUG